GUCUACGGCCAUACCACCCUGAAUACACCUGAUCUCAUCUGAUCUCAGAAGCUAAGCAGGGAGGGCCUGAUUAGUACUUGGUUGGGAGAUUGUAGGUAUUUUUUAAAAAAAUCAAGGGGCUGGAGAAA
RNAcentral lists this ribosomal RNA (128 nucleotides) under Nannospalax galili (Upper Galilee mountains blind mole rat). Lineage: Eukaryota; Metazoa; Chordata; Mammalia; Rodentia; Spalacidae. The record is from RNAcentral.